Plutella xylostella (diamondback moth) is the source of this 593-nucleotide non-coding RNA. NCBI's taxonomy places the organism in Eukaryota, Metazoa, Arthropoda, Insecta, Lepidoptera, Plutellidae. The record is from RefSeq and is a predicted model, not a curated record.
CUCUGUGAUCUACUGUCGAUCUAUCUAGUCUAUGAUCAAAAGGGUGUCAAGAAGUCAUCAAUAUUAAAGUUUUUGUUGUUUUCGUGUAUUUAGCUGUGAUUUUUGUCCAUAAACUGAAUAAGUGCACCUUUAAAAGUUAACACACCGUCUGGGUGAAGCCAUUGGUGUCAGCCGCUGAUCUUCACUUGGUAAGCUUGCCGUGCAUUGUUACCACCUUUAAAGAAAAUUUGGUAAUGUAGUCAUUCUAACACUAAAUACAGGCAACCGACCGAGCCGAAUUUACAGGAACAUUUAGACAUAAAUUACCGAUUCUAAUUUUUUUAUGUUGUGCGAUGUGAGUUUUGACAGCCCUAAAUUUAAUUUUGGUGCUUUGGAAUUACUAUUAUUAUCACGCUAACAUACCAAGCCGUAUCUGUAGGGUUGCCCCUUGCCCUCGCGCUGGCAACACCAGGAAUGAGUGACAUGACUUUUAUAAUGAAAAUUCUUUGAGCUUUUACAUUCCGUCUGUGAAAUUCGCUUUGUACAUGUCCGCUACUUGAGCAUGUUUAAAGUCGUUCUGUGAACGGAAAAAAUCUGGAUAAAGUUCUGUGCAA